RNAcentral lists this transfer RNA (73 nucleotides) under Bos taurus (domestic cattle). It matches the Rfam family "tRNA". Rfam says of the family: Transfer RNA (tRNA) molecules are approximately 80 nucleotides in length. Their secondary structure includes four short double-helical elements and three loops (D, anti-codon, and T loops). RNAcentral also lists the same sequence under 1 other name. The record is from Rfam by way of RNAcentral. Lineage: Eukaryota; Metazoa; Chordata; Mammalia; Artiodactyla; Bovidae.
UUCCUGGUGGCUCAGAUGGAAAAAGCAUCUGCCUACCAUGCAGGAGACCCAGGUUCAAUCCCUGGGUUGGGAA